CGGAGUGUGGCUCAGCCCGGUAGAGCACCUCGUUCGGGACGAGGGGGUCGGAGGUUCAAAUCCUCUCACUCCGA
This 74-nucleotide transfer RNA is filed under the name Bacteroidota bacterium. RNAcentral describes it as "Bacteroidetes bacterium (activated sludge metagenome) tRNA-Pro". It matches the Rfam family "tRNA". Rfam says of the family: Transfer RNA (tRNA) molecules are approximately 80 nucleotides in length. Their secondary structure includes four short double-helical elements and three loops (D, anti-codon, and T loops). The record is from RNAcentral. Lineage: Bacteria; Pseudomonadati; Bacteroidota. RNAcentral also lists the same sequence under 2 other names.